CCUACGGGUGGCAGCAGUGGGGAAUAUUGGACAAUGGGGGAAACCCUGAUCCAGCGACGCCGCGUGAGUGAAGAAGUAUUUCGGUAUGUAAAGCUCUAUCAGCAGGGAAGAAAGUAAUGACGCCUCCUUACGAAGCACCGGCUAACUACGUGCCAGCAGCCGCGGGAAUACGUAGGGGGCAAGCGUUAUCCGGAAUUACUGGGUGUAAAGGGGGGGUAGAGGGCAGAGCAAGUCUGGAGUGAAAUGGCGGGGUUCAACCAUGGCACUGCUUUGGAAACUGUGCAGCUAGAGUGCAGGAGAGGUAAGCGGAAUUCCUAGUGUAGCGGUGAAAUGCGUAGAUAUUAGGAGGAACACCAGUGGCGAAGGCGGCUUACUGGACUGUAAAUGACGCUGAGGCUCGAAAGCGUGGGGAGCAAACAGGAUUAGAUACCCUAGUAGUC
RNAcentral lists this ribosomal RNA (440 nucleotides) under uncultured bacterium. RNAcentral's name for it is "partial 16S ribosomal RNA". It matches the Rfam family "Bacterial small subunit ribosomal RNA", at positions 338 to 795 of the family's 1533-position model. The record is from RNAcentral.